Triticum aestivum (bread wheat) is the source of this 1071-nucleotide long non-coding RNA. RefSeq lists it as uncharacterized. The record is from RefSeq and is a predicted model, not a curated record. Lineage: Eukaryota; Viridiplantae; Streptophyta; Magnoliopsida; Poales; Poaceae. The transcript is spliced from 3 exons.
CCCAAAAUAUCUACUACUACAGCGUUUCUUCUUCUCUCCGUGAAAAGGAAUCCCCUCUCUCCGUGAAAUAGAAACCAUGAUGCAUACUUACACCAUGCUCUUCAUCUCUCUCCAUGAAUAAAAAACAUGAAGCAAUCUUACGCCAUGGAAUCUCUACUGUCUCUCUUCCUCCCAUAGAAAGCAAAUCCAUGUAUCUCCAUGGACCAAGCGACUUGAGGUAUGGAUCCGAUCGAUUUGACAAUGGAGCUUGCGGAUGGAUUUUCUUUUCUCAUCAAGUUCAGAUCGGUUCAUAUUCGAAUCACAACUAGGGUUAACGUUUCUCGAGCGUCUCAGCAAGCCUCUUUCCAAUGAUGGUGACAGCUAGGGCUUCGAUCCAAGUUGUGGCAAGCAACUGCGCUCAAAACUCCUCAAUCUGUCCUGAAAGUUAAGGCAAGUUUGCAUAGUGAAUAGAUACAUCUAGCGCUCAAUCCCUGCAGUAUAGCACAACAGUUUUGCGCUCUGCCCGGAAGCUGCACGUGGUUUCAAAUUUGACUCCCUGUGCGACUUCAGACUUGAGAGAAAUUUUUAUUAGAUAAAUGCUUCAUUUAUUUUUAGUUAUGUUCUGUAUACAAUUUGUAAUGGUUUAGAUGAUCAUGCCGAACAAUGUUAAUACAGGAGACUUAUUCAUUAUUUUCAUCACAAGCAGUUUUAGUUUUGCUAUCGCCGGUUGACACAAAUAAUCUAUGAGUUAUCAACUAUCAGACUGACUAUGCGCAUGUUGGAUUGUACGGGCUACAAUCGAGACGGCGGGCACGGAUGCACGGCGCCGGCGCACGCACAGGACUUGGCUGUUGAUUCUGAUUAGACACACAAGUACACGACCUGGGUUUGGAGUCAGCAAAAUUUACCAGUGCCAACAUGUUGUGGGAUGAUGAGACAAUGGGAAGCACGCCGGAGUCAGCCAGGGACGCCCGGAGGGACGAGAUGCAUGGCCUUGGCCUCCGACGAGCUUGCGGUGAACUGCAAGCAGCCUUGCAAAUUCAUAGUAUGGUAUUUGUUUGCUAUUUCUUUUUUCGUCUUCAAUUCCUUUGU